GGUCCCAGUGGCCCCCCCCUCCAGCAAACCUCCCGCCUCCCCGACGGUACUGGUCUGUCGACAAACUCCCAAUGAAGGGAGAGAAGAAGUGGAAAAGGGGAGGAAGGGGGAAGGGCAAGGGACGCGCACGAGAUAGAAACCAGGGGUCUGGGGUGUCAUGUUCAUGUAGUCAGUACCCCCACCCCCAUGUGCACCCGCACCCCCAAGGGCGGUCACACGGCCAUGGGAAGAGAGAAAGCACGGCCCUGUCCCACAGCCAGGAGGAGCUGCUCCCCCACUGCCACAGCUUCAGCGGGGGCUCACGGCCCAAACCCCCUCCCAAACCAGACCAGGGCCAGGCCAAGUCAGGCAGCCAGGCCAGCCUCAGCACACAGCAGCCAGGAGUGUUAGUGGAUCACCCCCCUCAGCCCUCCCUCUCGCCCCCUCAACCCCAACCUAGUGCCCCUUCCUCAUCCUCCUCCCUGCCGGUGCCCAUCCCUCCUCCUCCCUCCUCGUCCUCUGCCUCGGCCAGUGCUAAGCUCCUGUACCAGAGACUACGGUCAGUUCCUCAGCCCGGACGCUUCUACUCCCCCCACCUGCCACUCAAGGCAAAGAGCCUAUGCUCCCGACGAGGCUCCGCCCAUUUCUCCAGCCUGGAGAGCGAGGUAUGACAGGGGGAGACGAGAGAGGGAGACACUCGAGCCGACACUAGUGCCGCUGAAACCACUGACACCAUGGCAACUGUUACCAACGGCGGUGCCUUGGCAACGUUGGAUGCCACGGCAACUGAGACUGCUGUUAUGGUGACUACAAAUGACCCUCAGCUAGUGACCAUCGCUACAGGAACAACUAGGGAUGACUGCACCAUGGCUGUCUCCGCUGUGGGUGAUAGCGGAACCAUAGUAACCCGGUCCCUGGUGCGUGUUCUGGUGAGGGCCACGGUGAGGCGCCACACCAGGGUCACCUACAUCCGCCUGGAGGGGUCCCAUGACAUCGAGAGUGAGAGCGAGGCCAUGUCGUCUGGGGCGAUAGCAGCUCCAGAACUCCUCCUCCGGUCGGAACUGAGCUUUGUGAUGUCAUCGUCGGUCCUCCUCUCUUCCCCCAGUCAGAACAAUGGAUAAGACAAGUCUCCAAACUGUGAGUAAUGAUGUCAUGUUUACACACACACACACACACACACACACACACACAUGCUCGUCUCCCUCCCUCUGGCUCUGACUGAACACACCUCGUUGGUAGCGGAGAGACCGGCCUGCUCCUGUAAGGAUCCAACGCCUGUUUAACACUCCCACAGACUCUAGCUCUCCUGUCCCCAUUGGCUGAGGGACAUGUCACAUCAACCCACUUUUGAAUUGUAUUGGUAGACUGCAUCCUCACGUUGGAGAGACCCCCCCCCUUCAUCUCUCUCCCCUUUUGUAUGUUGGUUGAUAUAAAAGCAAUGCAGUCGCCUCUCUCUUACACACGCUCUGUCUGGCUUCUCAUCUCUCAUUGGCCAGGGAGGACAGUGACAUGACUUUGACCUCAUGACAUCUUCAGGGCCAUCUAGUGCGACCGAAGCCCCCCGGAAGGGAAGGAUACCAACCCCCAUGAUGUCAUGUUUACUACAAACCCUUUUGUCCAAUUAGAUUUAACAGGAGACUUUCUCCGCCACCUCAUCGGAGCCUGUCCUUUCUCCUCUGGUCCGAUCAGAACUCAGAACAGAGACUCUUGUCAUUCCGCUGACGAGCACGAUGACAUCACUGUGUUCCAGACACAAACGGAACAUUCUGAAGAAAAAAAGACACGUAGCGAGAUCUUUAUUUCCCGUCUUUUUCUUUCUUUCUUUCUUCUCCUGAAAGCUUCUUAGUUAUUCUAUCUCUGUGUUGUUCUGUUAGUAUUUCAGGCAGCAGGGAGGUCGGCUGGGGCUUAGUUAUUCUAUCCAUGUGUUGUUCUGUUAGUAUUUCAGGCAGCAGGGAGGUCGGCUGGGGCUUAGUUAUUCUAUCCAUGUGUUGUUCUGUUAGUAUUUCAGGCAGCAGGGAGGUCGGCUGGGGCUUAGUUAUUCUAUCUCUGUGUUGUUCUGUUAGUAUUUCAGGCAGCAGGGAGGUCGGCUGGGGCUUAGUUAUUCUAUCUCUGUGUUGUUUAUGUUAGUAUUUCAGGCAGCAGGGAGGUCGGCUGGGGCUUAGUUAUUCUAUCUCUGUGUUGUUCUGUUAGUAUUUCAGGCAGCAGGGAGGUCGGCUGGGGCUUAGUUAUUCUAUCCAUGUGUUGUUCUGUUAGUAUUUCAGGCAGCAGGGAGGUCGGCUGGGGCUUAGUUAUUCUAUCCAUGUGUUGUUCUGUUAGUAUUUCAGGCAGCAGGGAGGUCGGCUGGGGCUUAGUUAUUCUAUCUCUGUGUUGUUCUGUUAGUAUUUCAGGCAGCAGGGAGGUCGGCUGGGGCUUAGUUAUUCUAUCUCUGUGUUGUUCUGUUAGUAUUUCAGGCAGCAGGGAGGUCGGCUGGGGCUUAGUUAUUCUAUCUCUGUGUUGUUCUGUUAGUAUUUCAGGCAGCAGGGAGGUCGGCUGGGGCUUAGUUAUUCUAUCUCUGUGUUGUUCUGUUAGUAUUUCAGGCAGCAGGGAGGUCGGCUGGGGCUUAGUUAUUCUAUCUCUGUGUUGUUCUGUUAGUAUUUCAGGCAGCAGGGAGGUCGGCUGGGGCUUAGUUAUUCUAUCCAUGUGUUGUUCUGUUAGUAUUUCAGGCAGCAGGGAGGUCGGCUGGGGCUUAGUUAUUCUAUCCAUGUGUUGUUCUGUUAGUAUUUCAGGCAGCAGGGAGGUCGGCUGGGGCUUAGUUAUUCUAUCUCUGUGUUGUUCUGUUAGUAUUUCAGGCAGCAGGGAGGUCGGCUGGGGCUUAGUUAUUCUAUCUCUGUGUUGUUCUGUUAGUAUUUCAGGCAGCAGGGAGGUCGGCUGGGGCUUAGUUAUUCUAUCUCUGUGUUGUUCUGUUAGUAUUUCAGGCAGCAGGGAGGUCGGCUGGGGCUUAGUUAUUCUAUCCAUGUGUUGUUCUGUUAGUAUUUCAGGCAGCAGGGAGGUCGGCUGGGGCUUAGUUAUUCUAUCCAUGUGUUGUUCUGUUAGUAUUUCAGGCAGCAGGGAGGUCGGCUGGGGCUUAGUUAUUCUAUCCAUGUGUUGUUCUGUUAGUAUUUCAGGCAGCAGGGAGGUCGGCUGGGGCUUAGUUAUUCUAUCCAUGUGUUGUUCUGUUAGUAUUUCAGGCAGCAGGGAGGUCGGCUGGGGCUUAUUUAUUCUAUCCAUGUGUUGUUCUGUUAGUAUUUCAGGCAGCAGGGAGGUCGGCUGGGGCUUAGUUAUUCUAUCUCUGUGUUGUUUAUGUUAGUAUUUCAGGCAGCAGGGAGGUCGGCUGGGGCUUAGUUAUUCUAUCUCUGUGUUGUUCUGUUAGUAUUUCAGGCAGCAGGGAGGUCGGCUGGGGCUUAGUUAUUCUAUCUCUGUGUUGUUCUGUUAGUAUUUCAGGCAGCAGGGAGGUCGGCUGGGGCUUAGUUAUUCUAUCUCUGUGUUGUUCUGUUAGUAUUUCAGGCAGCAGGGAGGUCGGCUGGGGCUUAGUUAUUCUAUCUCUGUGUUGUUCUGUUAGUAUUUCAGGCAGCAGGGAGGUCGGCUGGGGCUUAGUUAUUCUAUCCAUGUGUUGUUCUGUUAGUAUUUCAGGCAGCAGGGAGGUCGGCUGGGGCUUAGUUAUUCUAUCUCUGUGUUGUUUAUGUUAGUAUUUCAGGCAGCAGGGAGGUCGGCUGGGGCUUAGUUAUUCUAUCUCUGUGUUGUUCUGUUAGUAUUUCAGGCAGCAGGGAGGUCGGCUGGGGCUUAGUUAUUCUAUCUCUGUGUUGUUCUGUUAGUAUUUCAGGCAGCAGGGAGGUCGGCUGGGGCUUAGUUAUUCUAUCCAUGUGUUGUUUAUGUUAGUAUUUCAGGCAGCAGGGAGGUCGGCUGGGGCUUAGUUAUUCUAUCUCUGUGUUGUUUAUGUUAGUAUUUCAGGCAGCAGGGAGGUCGGCUGGGGCUUAGUUAUUCUAUCUCUGUGUUGUUUAUGUUAGUAUUUCAGGCAGCAGGGAGGUCGGCUGGGGCUUAGUUAUUCUAUCUCUGUGUUGUUUAUGUUAGUAUUUCAGGCAGCAGGGAGGUCGGCUGGGGCUUAGUUAUUCUAUCUCUGUGUUGUUUAUGUUAGUAUUUCAGGCAGCAGGGAGGUCGGCUGGGGCUUAGUUAUUCUAUCUCUGUGUUGUUCUGUUAGUAUUUCAGGCAGCAGGGAGGUCGGCUGGGGCUUAGUUAUUCUAUCUCUGUGUUGUUCUGUUAGUAUUUCAGGCAGCAGGGAGGUCGGCUGGGGCUUAGUUAUUCUAUCUCUGUGUUGUUUAUGUUAGUAUUUCAGGCAGCAGGGAGGUCGGCUGGGGCUUAGUUAUUCUAUCUCUGUGUUGUUCUGUUAGUAUUUCAGGCAGCAGGGAGGUCGGCUGGGGCUUAGUUAUUCUAUCUCUGUGUUGUUCUGUUAGUAUUUCAGGCAGCAGGGAGGUCGGCUGGGGCUGAACUUGGACGUGAGAAACGUUUGGAAAGCAGUGCCAAAUUUCUACUCCACAGCUUUUAAGCCAAAUUGGUUUCCAGUCAUCUGUUUUCAUGACUAUAUCCGUAUAGUAUUUCACACGUGAGCAAUACAACAUUCUCUAUUAGGAGAGAGGAUGGAGGAAAUGAUUGGUUGCAAUAUCUACAGUUGGCACUAGAUGGCUGCAUAAUAUUCAAAUAAGCUUGAGAGGACUGAGUGAGAAAAUCUCUGAGCUGAGUCCAUUUGACAUUACAUUGAAGAUGUAAAACAUUCCGUUAUUAUGUGGAGGAAUCAGGACAGCUUAGCUUUAGUCAUUUGGAGUCAUUGAAACCCUGAGCAGUGUAUUUGAAAAUAGUUGUCAUGGCCUUUCAUUCCCUCCUGCUUGUGAGACCCACUCACCAGUGUGAAGGAGAUGCAUCUUAUGAAGCACAAUUGGUCAUCGCAUAAAGCCAUAAGCCAUAAGCCCUCAACGUGCCGUCAUUACAGCACACAAUAGUUAUUAUACCAUGGUGAAGAACAAUACUGUGCCAAUACCUGACUACUGUCAUUAUUAGAAAUGUAGUUUCACAGCAAGACGGAUGUAGUAAUACCACUGUGAGGGGAAUACUAUGUGGGAGUGGAGUCUACUAUGUGGGACAUAGAGAUGUAACUGUGUUCUGUCAUUAAAAAAGUCAUCAAUAGCAAUAUUGCCCUCUUUAAUGUGAUGAUAAUACAAUGGCAGACUGAGAGUACUUGGAGUGCUGAGUUAUGUGACAACCUGUAGGCCUGUUGGCUUGUUCCCCGGGGUGGACCUAGGCCAGGCACUGUUCAGAUCCACUCAUCUCUACACAAUACAGAUAUGUGAGGAACUAGUAGAACUAGUAGUGUGUAAGUGCAGGUGAUCAGGUCAGAUCAGAUCCUCUCAUCUCUACACAAUACAGAUCUGUGAAGAACUAGUAGAACUAGUAGUGUGUAAGUGCAGGUGAUCAGGUCAGAUCAGAUCAGAUCCACUCAUCUCUACACAAUACAGAUCUGUGAAGAACUAGUAGAACUAGUAGUGUGUAAGUGCAGGUGAUCAGGUCAGAUCAGAUCAGAUCCACUCAUCUCUACACAAUACAGAUCUGUGAGGAACUAGAAGAACUAGUAGUGUGUAAGUGCAGGUGAUCAGGUCAGAUCAGAUCAGAUCCACUCAUCUCUACACAAUACAGAUCUGUGAGGAACUAGAAGAACUAGUAGUGUGUAAGUGCAGGUGAUCAGGUCAGAUCAGAUCAGAUCAGAUCCACUCAUCUCUACACAAUACAGAUAUGUGAGGAACUAGUAGAACUAGUAGUGUGUAAGUGCAGGUGAUCAGGUCAGAUCAGAUCAGAUCAGAUCCAUUCAUCUCUACACAAUACAGAUAUGUGAAGAACUAGUAGAACUAGUAGUGUGUAAGUGCAGGUGAUCAGGUCAGAUCAGAUCAGAUCAGAUCCAUUCAUCUCUACACAAUACAGAUCUGUGAGGAACUAGAAGAACUAGUAGUGUGUAAGUGCAGGUGAUCAGGUCAGAUCAGAUCAGAUCAGAUCCACUCAUCUCUACACAAUACAGAUAUGUGAGGAACUAGUAGAACUAGUAGUGUGUAAGUGCAGGUGAUCAGGUCAGAUCAGAUCAGAUCAGAUCCAUUCAUCUCUACACAAUACAGAUAUGUGAGGAACUAGUAGAACUAGUAGUGUGUAAGUGCAGGUGAUCAGAUCAGAUCAGGUCAUCUGAACAGUACCCUGCUCAGCUACACCUUAUGAACAACUCAACAGGUGUCAAACAGAGAAUAAACAGACAGUGCAUUAAAGUGCCAAAAUACAUUGUUAAACCAAAACUAUAGUCCGUACCAUGCUUUGGUGUAUCUGUGUGGGUCAUCUAAAAGAGCUGUGUCAUGCAGCGUCAUGCUCUCCAUGGGUAUGACGUAUUCACCUCAGCUCUCUCACUCUGAGACCAGCCCACAGCCGAACCCCCAGCUUCUCCUAGUUGAAUGUAGCUUUGACAUGAUGUAGAACUUUUAGACUUUGUAUUCCUUUUUGGAUGCUGUUGAUCCUGGCUGGAAUGGAGGGCUUGAUGGGGCUAUGUGAGGGACUAUGUGGUCGAGUUGGGUUUGUGCAUGUUGUCAUAGAUCAAAAGGUUGGACGGUCUUUUGAGUUACUUUUCUCUACUGCACAUACUGCUUUGUCAAGGGGCCAUAUUUUGGAAACAAUUUAUCAUAGUUAUAGAGAGAUGUUUUGUUGUCCCCAUGAUCCUUCUGCCCCCUUACACCUUGGAAAAGCCCAGAAAUCAUUGCAUGUUUAGACGAUUGAAAUCCCAGAGGCUUGCAGUGGAGGGGUUUGUGUAGCUGUACUCUAGCUAAAGCUUAGGACCCAGGGCGGCCAUCUUUCCUUGAGGUAGCUCGCUCGUCCCAGCGCCCCAACAGUGGAAACCGUGGAAACAGUUCUACUGUUUGGAAUGAGGUCAUUUUAAACCAAUCAGUAGUGCUGAAGCCUGUUGUCAUCGAGCAUCAUUGAGUUGUAUCAAGGCGCUAAUACUGAAGUCUGUGACUGCAUGAACAGAAGUGACUUUUAAAACCUUGUAGCUAAAUUUUUUGCUGAGAAUUAAAGAAUAUAUUAAUAUAUACUAUGUUUUUGAGAAUGUACCAUGUUAUACUGUGAUUUAACUUAGAUAUUUUAUUGACUAUUGUAUUCAAUUUUAUCAUUUAAAAAUUCUAUCAUUUAUCUAUACAGAAAUAUAUAUGUACAAAUAAAUAUAUACAUAUAUAUAUACAUACAUACAGGUGUGUGUGUAUAUAUAUAUAUAUGAGUUAAGUUUGGUACACUUGGAGGAAGUGUUAGAUGAUUAGUUUUAAAUGUUUUAGCUUUGUAGCAAUUCUAGACACUGAAAUCAUUUUGAAUUUGGAUACCUCCUAUAUGACUGUGAAGACAUUAGUGCCUGUGACAAAAAAAGAUGAGAAAAAAGUCUAAUCUCUCUACCAUCUACCUGUAUCUAAUAUAUCUAUCAGUCUGUCACUCUAACUGUUGUACUACCUAACAUUAUAUAUAUUUGUUUUGUUAUUUCUAUUCAUAAUAUUUCUCUAUCUAUCCCUCUCUCUCUAUGCCUCUCUCUCUCUCUCUCUGUCUCUCCAUCUCUCUCUCUCUUAUUUAGCUGUUCGUUCCACACUAGUCUUUUCACCUCUAAAUCUGUCAUUUACUUCCAUUUUCCUUUAGUUUAGUUUAUUUGAUCAUCUUUCUAUUUCAAUCUGUCUAUCCCUCCGUCUGUCUCUCACUUAGCAAAAAAUCCCAGAGACCAGUAGAUACUGUGUUCUUGCUCCUUUUGACUGAUUGUUGAAGAUGAUGAUCAAUUAAUUGAUUGAUUAGUGAAUUAAUGAAUUAACAAUGUUAUUAACGAUGUGAUUGAAGUGUGCAUCUGACGACCAUGCCACUGUAGCAAGUCUGGGCUGUACCAAACUGCCUGGCAGCAACAUAAACCUUAGUUGCUAUGUUGCAGUGGUGUUGCCAUGGCGUUUCUAUGGCGUCCGGUACACCACCCCCACCUGGUGCUUGCUGGGUAAUGUAAUGUAGCAUAAUGUCCUUCAUGUUGCCCUCAAGCUCUGGUCUAGGAUCUGCUCUCCCUCAACCAUUCCUAACCAUCAUCAUUGGGCAUUGAACAAUUAAACCUGACCUUGGAACAGUGUUUGAAGGUUAACUUGGUGGUGUUGCACUGCAUGUGUCUGCUCUCUAUACUACUUACAUCUUAAACUGGACUGAACUGGACUGAUGACUGGCUGACUGGCUGACUAUGGAAAUGUGAUGUGCUAUCAAUCAUUUUGUCAAGAAAAAAUUACUUUUGUUGGGCUAUGUUUUUAUUGUGGGGGAGGGGGGGGGUGCAUGCUUGUGUGUGUGUGUGCAUACUGAAAACACACGGUUUGAACUGUGCUGUUCUGCAUAGUGUGAUAUUGUACAGCAUAGUGGAUAACACCGGGAUGGUGCUGUAAAGUGGCUGGUAGUGAUACUGCAUAGUCAGAAAUAUCUGGAGGUCAUUAGGAAUGUGUGUGCAUGUUUGUGUGUAUGUUUGUGUGUAUGUUUGUGUGUAUGUUUGUGUAUAUGCGACUGUGAUUUUGUUUGAAAGUGUUGUGCUGCACAGUCAUGUGUGUAUGUACAUUUUAGUAUGUGAGUGUGUGUGUGUGUGUGUUAUUGAAUGUAUGUAACCCCACUGCGGCAUGAUUCUAUAUAAUACCACGCAAGCACACACAAACACACACAGUCCCCCUUGCACACACACUCUUAUACACAUACACACACACACAGUGCUCUGCAUGCAUAUUUAAUACACACACAUACAUCACUCAGCCAAUGGAUCUCAUCGUUCCUCGUUCCUGGAGCUCCCACUGAGCAACACUCUGUAGCAACGCGUCAAUAACUCCCCCAUCACACACACACACACACACACACACACACACACACACACACACACACACACACACACACACACACACACACACACACACACACACACACACACACACACACACACACACACACACACACACACACACACACGCUCUGAAUGAUUGGAUCAUCAAGGUUAACAUAUUACUCUGCUUACUAUACCUUAUCAAUCUCAUGUCUGUGCAGAGUAAGGUUGUGCUGUUCAAUUAUGUUGGAUAGAAAAAUAAAUAUAUACAUUUUAGAUAAUCUUGGCUACAGAACUUAAUUACAUAAUUGUUUUGAGUUGUCUGUUUUCUUUUGACUUAUCUCUCCUUACUCUGUGUGGGAUAAGAUAUGUGAUAAGAUAUAUGAUAAGAUAUAUGAUAAGAUAUAUGAUAAGAUAUGUGGUAAGUUAUGUAAUAAGAUAUGUGAUAUGUGAUAAGAUAUAUGAUAAGAUAUGUGAUAUGUAAUAAGAUAUGUAAUAAGAUAUGUGAUAUGUGAUAAGAUAUAUGAUAAGAUAUGUGAGGGAGAACUGUGUUUCACUGGUCUGUAUUCUGCCUUUCAGUGCUGCUCUGUUUACAUGAGUUAAAUGCUAUUUUUGUUUCUUACAGUCUGACGUCCAUGUCUUCAGUCCACUCUAAGAUCAAAGUAGACCACGAGUUCUGAUCAGUCAUUGGUCCAUGGUCAUGAUUCAUCCUUACGUUUCAGUUUUCUGUCACCUUUGACCCGAGAAGUAAAAUGCAUGGCACUCCCGAGUUCAAACAGGGUCCUCAUCGGCGUUUCGCCAUGAAACAAUUUCAAGGAAAAAUAGGAGUGGUAUGUGUUGCACUCACCAGGCCUAGUGACAUAAGAGCUACAUCUAAACAGGAUGCUAGGUUAAGUCAUUACAAAGCUCAUUCACUGUGGUCCAUACAGGUAUCAUAGGACCACUACUUUCAGUCAUUCACUCAAAUGGAAUUCAGUGUCACUGAUCCACCUAACAGUGUUUUAGCCUGGUGACUGUCCUCCAUCUGUUUCUGCGUUCCAAAAUCUAGUGGCACUAUAUAUAAUAGUGUUGAGAUACGUUUGCUAAAGCAGAAAGAGACUGGCAACCAGGCUAUCAUUGCUGUGCUCUUGGAACAGCACCUAGAAACCAUCAUGAUUGUGUAGUGUACCUGUGUAUACCUGUAUACUUGUGGGUGGCUAAGGUGGGUUGCUAAGGCAGGUUGCUAAGGCUGUUGGUAGUGUACAGCCCAGACUGGUCUGGUCCAUACCCUGAUCUAAAUGAGUUAGUUUGUUUUGACGUGGUCUGUCUGGGGGUGGGGCUGGCGGGUCAGUGCUGCACUUACUUCCUGAGAAUUGCUUCAUAAAAAUAUGAUUAUCUUUAAAUAA
Oncorhynchus keta (chum salmon) is the source of this 10263-nucleotide RNA transcript. RefSeq lists it as uncharacterized. The transcript has 5 exons. Lineage: Eukaryota; Metazoa; Chordata; Actinopteri; Salmoniformes; Salmonidae. The record is from RefSeq and is a predicted model, not a curated record.